GAACUUCAUUUUUAGAUUCUGUAACAAGAUCUGGGUCUGAGUCACUUGAGUUGGGAUAGUAUACCUGAAAUCAGCUGCAUCUCCCUCAUCCUCACUUGAUGACUCUUUGUGUAAAGGGAGUCAGAGUGCACAGAACACCCCUGAAUUUCAGAUUUCUCUGAUCAACGUGUUUAUUCAAUUCAAAUCAUUUUAUUUUGUUCAAUUCAUCUGCAACUUAUGGCAUUUCUGGAGUAACAUUUUCAGGUAUAUUACACAGUAUCAUGCUUUAGGAACGCAGUAACUUACAAUGUUUUGGCCCUCUUGUUUAAAGACCACAACUUGUUGAAUUCAGCCCUUCACCCUUGCAAUCUGUAUUUAGCCCCCAUUGCUUUAAAAACGUAUUUUCAACGUGAAAUGCAAUAAUAUUUAUGGGUACAGCAACCACCUAACGCAUUAGCAACACCAAACACACAAAAAAUAUUCUGUGAUGUUUACUUUUGGUCCGGGUCAUUAUGCUGAAUGCUAGCAUGCUCCAAGCUAGCAUGCUAACUAGCAAACUACCUGCGCUAACGCUAACUAGCUUAAGAAAAAGCACCGUCUUUCCUGUAUCGGGUGGGCAGCACAAGUAAAACAACUGGUUAUAGUUCCAGGUGUGCUUCAUUCAAACACUCACGUACUUACAGAGUAUUGGAGCCGGUAGUCGUGGUUCUAUCAGCCCGUUCAUGUCGCUCUGCUGCGUACAAACUUCACCUCGUGCAGCAUUGGGUAGAAGGUCUGCAAAGGUCUGAGAACUCGCGCAUGCGCGUUACAGAUGUGAGAGGAUUUGCGUGUUUACAAUUAAUGUUUGAAACUGCCCGCAUUAUUAUGUCUUAAAAGCAUCUUAUUAACAACACGCAGUCCGUAGUUUCAUAUUUAUGACGUGAAAUAUUAAAUACAUUGAAAUUACAUCUAGACCAAAUUUCGCCGACCAGUUCAUUAAUUAUUAUCAAAAUCUUAACGUUAAUAUCGUCUCUCUUUCAACCUUACGUUACAACAUGACAUAUUUAUGAACAAAUUGACGUUUGCUGGCACGUUGAUGUUUCAUCCAAUUUUUAGCCGGUUGAAAAGAUGUUGAAAUGAGGUCUUAGACGUUCAGACCUCAUUUCAACCCGAUUUCAACCAUAUUUCAACGUUGAAAUUACGUCUUGUGGUCACUGGGAGGUUCUCUAGCAUGAUGCUAGUAAUGCUAACAGUGACUAGCUAACUGUGUUCACUCACCAGCGUCUACGGGAUUAUGUCAGUUGACACUCUCAACUGGCUGUCUGCAUGACUAGUUGGAAAACAGUCUUAUUAGUAUAAUUAAAUGUAAGCUAUGAUAACAUUUUGAAUGUUUUAUAAUAUUUUGUACCAAAAUCCGGGAGCGUCUUUCCUUCACGUCUCACUGGAAGGAUAAAAAAAAGGGAUUCCUCACUCGUGGGAAGCUCCCUUGAGCGGAAUGCAAGCGUGCCCCCCAGAGGCCAUAACUGCCACUACUACUGGUAUUAGUAGCCCCAACUUCAUGAGGGUUACACUUAGGGUUGCCAAUUUAUGAGUGAUUUUGAUAUGUCCCGUCAGGGACAGCUCCAGUCCCGUAUUCCAAUCACAGCCAAUAUUUUUUUAAAUAUUAAAUUUUUUUUUUUUUAGACGACCAAUAAUAGGCUUCUUUAAACGUGCCUAAAACUCACGCGAACGUUGCUAUGGGACACGGUUGUUGCUUGUUGGUGACAGUUUGUUUGAACUGGCCACUGGGAGGUGAGCGUUAUCGUGUGUCAAAAUGAGAAGUGAACCUUCAAAGAAAAAAAUACUUUGCAGCUAUAAAAAAGAAGGGAAGCCAAAAUGUCAUGGGUUAAAGCAGUCGCCAAUGACGAAAGGAAAGCGUUUUGCACAGUAUGCCGCCGAGAACUAUGCGCGCCUGCGCACACCUGGAAAAAAGUGUCCCUCUUAAGGGGUUGAGGAAGUUGGCAACCCUAGUUACACAACCCUCCACAUAUUUUCAGUAUGCUGAAAGGGUUAUAGGAGGGAGUCAGGUGAUGUCACCUCACAUCUCCCACAUCCUCGCAGCACAUUUUUUGCGAAGGCUGAAUUUUGAUAAACCGACCGUAAAUGUUGCUUAAAACAACUAACUUCUCGUCUGAAAAAGUCUGAAAAUUACAUUUCAUGACGUAAAUAUGGUAGUAUUUAUAAACCUGGAUCUACACAAGGACGGGCGAGCCUGGACUUAAAAGCAUUGUUACGGCCCUGUGUUCCACAGCCGGGCCUUGUCUGUGUGUAUGUGCAUUUUUUGUUGAGGUUGCUUUGUGUGUGUGUGCAUCUCCCUUCUCCCUGAUUGGCUGAGGACCUCAGGAUCGUUAGUGGCUGCACCUGGCUGGAGCUCAAAAGGCCACAGUCUUCAGGCCCAAGGGGGUCGCUACACAUGGGUGAUACUGUAUGGUCAGACAUUUGUUUUGCAUUGGGGGUGGAUUGACUGUUCUGUGGGUGUUUUAGUUUUUGAUAUCUGUUUUCAUUAUUAUUACAUCCGUUUUUUUUUUACUAACAACCGUGUUCUUCUUGUCCCUUUUCGUCCCAAGGGGAAGGGAGCCGUUGUGGCUAGACUAGAGGCCCAUGGGCAUACAUCACCCACAGUGAGUCUCUGUCUAGGAACACUAGCUUAGACCUGGGCAGACCACCACCUGUAUUUUUGGUUAGCAUGCCAAAGCUAUUUUAGUUUGGUUCUGCCCAGCCGUUCUCCCUGCAAUCCCUGUGAUUAGAGACUUAAUAAAAUAAUCUAUACACGGUAAAAUUGUCCUACUUGCACCACGACCCCCACAUGCCCCCUGUUAGUGAUACACUUGGGUCUUGAGCAGCGGCGUGUCAACGGUCCCCUCCCAUCUAGGGAGCUGGUACAUAACAGCAUAUUAAGGAAGGGCGUAAGAUUGGCGCUUUUCGCUGUUCAAAACCCGCCCUCUUUGCUUCCGCUGGUGUAACUGAGAUGCCUUCCGUAUGCUAGUGAAUUUCAACCAUACAUAGUAUAUAUACAUUAGUAUAUAGUAGGCGUAAGAGUGUCUCAGUAGUGUGUAUGAGAGUGUCUCGGUAGUUAAGUCCUAAACGGCCCCUCAUACUGCUCUUGUGAGGGCCAUUCCUCUUUCUUGCAUGUUUAAAAAGAGGUGGGAGAUCUGCUCUACUGUGUCAGACAUUAGCUCACAUAGGAAUUAAUCUUGCUCCAUUUUGGUCAUUGCCUUGUCAUUUUCAUCUCUUGUGACAUCCACUAAAAAAGCACUGAAGUGGUGAUACAUGGCCUUGUAGGAAUUCCAUACAGCUGUCACAGUUCUGAAACUGCUGUCUGCCCAUCGGACAUCAAGGACCCUCCCGUUCGUUUGCAGAUUUUCUUCAAGUUGUUGUGCAUGCACCGCCAGUUCCCGGCAGUUUUUUGGUGACCUGUGGUACAAUGUGUAAAUUGUCUAAAAAAGACUUGAAAUGAUUGACAUUAGUAGUGUGCUUGACUGUGUCUCCAAGAGCCAAUUUCCAGCCUGUGGUUUAGACAGUGCCACGCAAUGAGAUGUGGAUACAGGAUUUGUAGACGUGCAGCUACCCCUGACUUCCUGCCCAGCAUGGCACUGGCUCCAUCACUGGCAAACGCAAUGAAAUUGCCUUGAUGAAAUGUUCAUCCAUUCUCCAAGUCUGGAGGCACUGUAGUAAACUCUUAUUAUUCUCUAAUUCUCAGCUGACUGGCUUUCCAGCUCUGCCAAAUAUUGCUGUGGAUACUUCACUUAAAAUGGAUCUUUUGGGUAAACGCUAUUUCCAAAAUACCAGAGGUGCGUAAAGGGUGUUUACGUGUGUUUAACCUCCACUACAGCACUGACUGUGUUAUUGUGUUUCCUCUCACUCAAGGCCAAAGUGAUGUUUGCUUGGUCGUCCGAAUGUCAGGGAUCUUUUGAUGCAGUAAAAUCUCUGUAAUGCUCUUUUUCCCGUGUUAGCUGCUCCUCGUUUUGAUCGAGCAUCUAAGUCAGCGUUUUUUAGGCCAUGCACCCCUUCUUCAUCCCGACUGGGUUCAUGCACCCUCAUACCCACACACUUAAAAAGAAAAAGUCUAUUUAUAGCUGCAUUCAAAUUGGACCAAUAACAGAAUAGUUCGCUAACGGGUGGUGUUUGUUUACAAUAUUUAUUUUGCUGUUAAAUGUUGCAUCGUGAACACAGACCGAACAAAGGGGCAACUACAACAUUGUAUCAUAUUGAUUCCGAAUCAGGACAGACAAAAAAACUAAAUAAAUACCCUGAAACACUGCAAGUUUCAAUAAAUUCCAUUUACGUCACUUUUAAGGAGUAAUAAGAAGGACAAGGACACAUGCACAGGCUCGGAGGCAGAUCACAUCAUAUUCUAUUUACAAUUAACCAUACAUGGUGGCAAAAUGAUUUAAUAUUAAAAAUAUAAAGUUACACAUCACAACUGAUCAUAGGAGGUGGGUAGGGGGAUUUGAAAUGACUUACACCGUAAUCCACGUAAAGAACAAAUAGCAGCACAUGCAGAGUCUCACAAACAGUUACGAAUAAUAAGGGAGGGAUUCCAUCUGAGGAUUUCACACGCAGCGCAGGGCUCAGGCUGCAGCGAGAGAGACGUUAGCGAGUAUUAACUCUCUGUUUCUAUCGCCUCGGAUUCCUCCUUCUCUCUCUGUCCCUCUCCUCUUUCGCAACUGAUAGCUUCAGAUGUCCACCGGACAGUUUCCCGAUUUCAGCCAAGUCAGCUUAGCCAAAAGUUAGAGCAGUAAACAAUUAUUGAAUAAAUUUAAAACGCUCACCUCUUGUAUGAUUUUAGCAAUCACUGAGGCUGAUGAAGAGGGCAGAUGUUAUUCAAGUACUUUUCUGCCUUCAUGCUUUGAAUAGUUUGUCAUUUUUAAAUGAUUUAAUUACAUUCUACUGACACGAAACUCUCAUCAGAAAUGUGCGAUGUCUAAUGUGAGAAAUGUAUGAAUUAUGUUGAGAUAACUUAACACAUCUGUAGAUUAUGUUAUGUCUUAAAAAAAUGAAGGAAAAAAAAUCAGCUUUUCCUUGAAUAAAAAGGAAAAGAGGCAUUGAACUUCACAAAGAUUAAAAAACGUGGGCAUGCCUCUGAAAAUACCUUCUUGAAAUGAUAAAAUCCAACAUUUAAAAUUUCUAUACGAAUUUUAUGUGAGACUAAGAGGAAGUAUAUUGAGCGUCCACGUCAGUUGGGGCCUUUCUUAAAGUCUGUAUAAAACAGAAGUCCUACAGGGUAAAUAUUUAUCAGGGCACCUAAACAUACAGUUUAAAAUGAAAUGCUUUAUUUUCUAUAUUUGAAAACUCAAGUGCCAUGUCAAACUAGAAGAGAGGGUGUCGCGACGGCAACAUGAGCAAUGUUGUACAAACUGAAGUAGUUUGGAAUUAAUGAAAGACAGAUGCCACCUCAUGUGCACAAGAUGUCCUCAGACGUACACACGCCACACCGAGGGAUAUGUGUUAUCAGUCGUGACACAUGCUGCUUAUUUGUUUGUCUCCAGUAAUGUGGCGCACAACACUAUUCAUCAGCCCUCAUUUUCCCUGUGGCAAGCAGGUUUGUGUACAUGUGCGAGUUGUGUGUGUUAGUGUGUGUCCUGCUGAGGCACCAGUCUGGGUGUUUAUUGGUUCCCCGGAGCAAAGGUUCCCAGCCUCAUUUAAAGCAGGUUUAUUGCGCUUUCUGAGCCGCCGUUGCCAGCGUGUGAUUACCUGAACAGACUCAUUUGCUGUCCAAAGUUAUUCUCCUCAUACAAAGCCUUAAGUUAACCAUUGCACAAAAUAUUUUGGUACUUACUUGGCCAAUCUGGUUUUGUGAAUUGUUGUCAUGCCUCUUUGCCUAUCGAUGCAGUCAUUUUCAGUCAGUUUCUUCCUCCUCUUUACAGUGAAGAGCCGCUUUUAAUUGCAUCGAAUUCACAAGAAAAAAACUCCUUCUGUUUUUUAAAAACCUUAAAGAAAUGUGAGCAAAAUCCAAUUUCACCAACUGUCAUUUAGUGCACGCUGUUGUGAUCAGAUGAUAAAUGUGGCAUUAAGUUUGUGUGUGUGUGGGAGGGGGGGGUGGGUGCAUGACCCCUGUGAGACAUCACCAGUCCAGCCACGCAUCUAUCCAUCACCCGCGCAUCAUGGAUCCGCCACCAACUCCGGGACGCCGAUGGAGACACCUUCCGCACCUGUUUCUGUAUCCCUCGGCUUGAUGCGGAAGCAGGAGAGCGAGGAGAGUCUGGAGUGGAGGCGGCUAUGGGCUGAAGUUGUGCUAAUGGGGAGAGAGAGUACAUUCUCCCACACAUCCAUUCCCGGUGCUGUCAAGGAGCAUCAUGGUGGAACGCUGACGAUGGGAACCCCAGUCCCUCCCCACCCCAACACCUGCUGCUCCUCCAUCUGCUGCAGCACAAAAAGCCUCCCGCUUCUCCUGUUUAUGCCCCCAUUUAUACCUCCAUCCAUGCACCCCAUACAUUCAUCCAUAGAAAAAACAGAAGUUGUGGUCUGCAAAGUCCUUGGCUCCUCUAGAGCUGCAAGCGGCCGACACUGUUAUUGUGAAACCCUUCAGCCACUGCUGCAAAUCUCUAAAGGCUUUGUCGCAGCUGCUCUGGGAUCAUACUGGAAGAGUGACACUGAAUUCACAAGCAGGAGGUCACACAUGGAAGUUACAGAUAGUAGAGCUCAGUCAGGCUACACAAUGAUGCCGAGGGACAGUUGAUGAGUGCACAAUUUGGACCUCGGAAAACCGUGAAAUGCAACCCAGCCACGUUCUUGUCAGGAACAGUAUUUGCAUCAGCGCUUCCAUCUGAGGAAGAUGAGAAGGAGACUAGGUGAGCAGAGAGGUGGGUGCUCCCUGAUUUAUUCUAAAAAGAUAUCAUGCUAAAAAUGUCCCCAAGUAAUAAGGGGAAUGUUUAUCCUCCAGGGCAGAAAUACCAGGAUUAGUGUUUUGUAGGAUCAUGAAAACAUGCACACACAUAAAAGCCAUCUUUGUGACACCCUUUGUUGGUGAUGUUAGUUGCCUGGAGGACUGAAAAAAAACAAAACAAAUGGCAUUCCUUGUGUUUGCCCUUUGCAUCUAAAAGGUGUUGCUCUCUCAGCAGCAUAGAACCGGCGUCUUUUCAUUACAGGUACAACGAAUCCAUGAUGAUUGUACCGCCUCAACUAAAUCGGUCCGGUGAGAAUCUCGAGGUCUCUUCCGGAGUUCCGGUAACCUCCUGAGAGGUUCACUAUAGCGGUCGUCCUCCAUUGUGGCCUGAAGACAAGGGUGUAAGACAACCGAGAUGGAGCAAAAAGGAGAGAGAGGCUAUCAAAAAAUAUCAUUGAUAUUCACGCAACUGUGUGCGUGUGUGUGAGUGUGGUCCAUAACAUCUUGUCUAAUGAGUGUGAUGAGUUUACUUUUAUGACCCUGGGUGGUCGUUUUUUGGACCAAAGCGAAGAGUAUGAAACCCAUGCAGGAUUAUUUAUUUCGCUUAAAUAUGUCUCAUUAAAAAAAGCACAUUUAAACAUCACACCUUUCAAACAAGCAUCUCAGGUUUUACUAUCGAAAAAAACCCAAUUCCAAUUAAACAUUAAUAUCACCCCAAUAACGUAAAACAAUGUUAUUGUGACACACACAAUCUCAGCUGUAAUAACAUACUGUGUGAAUGCCGACUCCUGUUAUUUAGUUUGCAUAAGCUUUGUUAACAUUACUGCUGUGUUAAUUUAUGAGACUAUUCAAUGUACGUGUGGUGUGUCUGUGGGGGUCAUUUUGUCUGGUUGCCCAUUGGUUGUCUAUUGCGAUAUGCGAUAUUAUUUCCAACAAUGAAAGCAGACUGGAGGGAAGCACGAUCGACUAAAAUGUUGGUGACGUUCAUUUAUAUGUCAAAUGAACAUCGCACCACCCAAAAUGAUCGCACUCAUCUCCCUACGCGGUGCGAUAAGUCAAUAUAUUGCGAAUGGCGACAGGUCUGCUCAGGUCACCUCUCCCGACUGCAUCUGUCUUAACUCCUGCUUUGUGGCUUUUUGGAGGGGAAACAGUUGACACCGUUUCCCUGAGGGUAGUCUCAGUGGUUCACGGGUAAGGCUACCGUGGGUUUCACACAGCUCGCAGACACGCAUACACACAUGCACACACACACACGCAUGCAUACGCACAGACCUAUGCACGCAGAGACACUCCAGAGGAGCGGUGACAGGCAAAGAUGCCCUCAUUUUGACCUGUGAGCCAACGCGGAGGAUGUCUGACAACCUCAUUGCCCCCCCCUCGCCCCCCCGCCUUGUAUCACGGGAGGAUCACUUGGGGACACACAUUCGACUGAAAGCUCUGAUACACACACACAUAGCCAUGUAUUUGCUGUGUAUUUCAAUGCUUACACAAACAACAAAGCCUAGUCUAACACCUGCCGCUCUGUGCAUUGACUCAACAGUGGCUCGAGCCAAACUCCUAACGCCGGCAUGCCACCGUAACAUGCUGAUAACGACAAUUUCAACAUGCCGAUGAUUAGCAGGUAAUCUUCACUGUUUUCGUUUAGCAUUAAGCGUGCCAAAAUGAAUGUGCUAAGUGCUAAUUAUCACCACACAGCACGCUUCAUCUCGGCGUGCCAUGGAUGUUUGUUUUGUCUGAAUUGUAUAUUUAUGUUAGACAGUAUAACUGUUAAUGUACUUUUAGGAUAUGUCAUAGUCAUUUGGACAAGAAAGUGGCUACUUCUUGACUCAUAGGUCUAGAAUUCCUUCCCAAUAUUGCUUAGUAAUUAUAGACCCGAGUAAUUGCAGCUUAAUCAUUUAUCUUUGUCGUUAUGUGAACCUGUUAAUCUUGUUUGGUUUGGGGUUUUAUCAGAAAGCCUUCAGCUGACAUACCCUUGUGAUGGAAAUCUAAAUGUAUUCAUAGCCGCUGAUAAAAGGACGUAUGUAUACCAUUAUCAAAACGUCACUGACAAACCCAUUCUGCACCUCCGUGGCUCAGGUGUUCUCAUUCCUGAUGCUGAGCAAGAUGAAAUCUAAUGAAUGUUCCCAUUAUUACAGUGCUGAAGGGCUCGGGGUCAGAAGCAGCAGGUGCCCUGAGGGACUGAAGCCGUGCACAGCAAAUGUUUGGGCUCCACUUCUCACAGGAUGAGUCAACGGGCCCAGAGUAACCCCCGGACCUUUCUCAAAUAUCAUAGGCCUCUGUGUUUGUGUGUUGAAGGAGGUGAGGCGUGGAAAUAUUGGAAUACAGCAUAAUCUCACCAACCUCUUCCUCUUCUUAGAGCCUAAUGUCGGCUGUAUCGGCGAGAUUUAGAGAUAACGCCACUUGGAUCUGUCUGGGAACACUGCAGAUACUAUGGUGCUCAUGAAAUGCUUAUGUGACCUUGCCCGAGUGUGUGUGUGGUGUGCAUGCUGAGCUGAUAGUCGCAGGUUGGCAUGUGACAUGUGGCUUUGUCUUCAUUACAACAACAUCAGGCUGUGCACCAUCCAGCACAAUGGCUUCAUUUAGCCGGCUGAUCUGCUGAGAGCUGCUCUGCAAUAACACGGGUCAGGACCUGAGCGGGAGCGAACCGUCACACUGCCGCCGCCCUCUUCUCUGAUGAAAGACGCUGUCAACAAUCCCCUUUGCUGCCGCGCUAAUCUACGUCGCUAAUACACCCUGCUCCAUCCCUUGCUCUCAACGUUGACUGUUUGCUCUUUUCCAGCCUCGCUCUAUUUUCUGCACAUAAUCGUUCUUUUCUCUGUAAUCUUCCUUAACGUACUUUCCCAAUGCAGUUCUCGAUCCCCUCUUAAAGCUUCUCAUUUUCUUCCUUCUUUCCUUUUUGUUCAAAUUUUAUUCAGCCUCUUUAAGUCUUGUAACUUUUCCUCAAAGUUGCUCAUAGCGUGACAUCAGAUAAUAUAAAAUAUUGUCACAAUAUAGUUCUGUCAAUGUCAUAAAAAUAUGAUAUUAUACUAUGCCACUAAAAAAAUCAAGAAAAACGUUUUCAAAUGAUUUGACAUGAAAAAAAAAGAAAAAUUAAAACUCUUAGGUCAAAAAGUGUGCAGAAAAAAAGUCAUGGUACAUUAGAUUGAAAAAUAUCAUGGGAAAAAAAAUAAAAAAAACAUUAGGUCAAAAAAGGCCAUGGAAAAAGCAUAAAUAAUUUAUGUAAAAAAAUAUAUUAGGUCAAACAAUCUUAUGGAAAGGAAAUUUUAAAUACAUCAGGUCAAACAUUUUUAUGGAAGAUGAAGUCAAAAUAUAUUAGGUCGAAAAAUGUAAUAGAAGAAAAAGCCUAAAUAUAUGAGGUUGAAAAUUGGAUAAAAGUCCAGAUACAUACAAGAUAAAAGUAUGACAAACCAUGCUAUGAUUUCUAUGACUUUUUCAUGAUGAUAUUCAUUACAUUUCGAAGAUAUUGCUAUGGCAUUAUUUCAAAGAUUUAUCAUAUAUUAUGACAUGUUUCAUGAGCUGCUAUUUUAUGAGAUUUUCACAAAAAUAUUAUUGCAUGCUUUACUAUGACUUUUUAUGAGUUUUUUUAUGACACACUAUAUCAUGACAUUACAUUGCAUACUAAUCAUCCCGAAGCCACAAUCAAAGUAUCUGGAUCCUUUUGUUUUUCUUUAUCGGUUUAUUCCUCAUUCCCAUUUCGUCCAGCAUCCGCUGCUUGUCUUACAUCUCCAGUCGCCUGUGUGGCUUUUUGGCUGCUUCCCCACUAUUUUCUUGAGGAUGGAGACACAAAAGAUAACAAAUGAGCUCCUGAAAUGGGUUGUAAUUACAGCUUCUGGAACUAUUAAGUUCUGGACAUCAGAGAUAAUGGUAUUCUUGGGAAGCGUAAAUCACACCUAAUGGUGUCCGAAUGACCAUGUCUAUUACAAACCAUAACCAAUCAUUUCCUAGUUCAUAAGAAAGCUUAAGAGAGCCCUGAAUAUAAGAUAUUUCAUAUGCUCUCAAUAUUCAACAACAUUAAACACAACACAGCUGGUAAUGACAAAAAUAUACCUCCUUUAAAGCUUCAGCACCAAGAAGAUGUCUUCUCUGCUGGUCUGUAUAAUGGCCCUCUUCUGGACAUCGAUCCAGGUCGCAUAUCUAAAAGUGUGACAAGAAAAGCAGCUUUUCUAGCAUGCAAAAUAACAGUUACGUAAAAAUCAUUCCAAGACAAUGCAGUUUAAUGAAACGUAUUUUAUGAGUUCACUUCCUGCUUCUGAUACUGACAUGCAGAUACACUAUAAGUAUAAGUAAAACAUCUGAACAGUUCUCCUUGGUAACAUCUUAGUACUGUGCUUCAUACAAGUCCUUGUUCAAGGCUGUGAAAAUACCCCCGGAUGGAUGAAAUGGUUUCACUCCAGAUAGUAGCUUUCGUAGACAUUCAUGACCACGCUUGUGCGGACACACAAACGCACACCCACACACACACAUGCACGUACGCACACUGACAGCCUGAAAGAUGGGUGAGCUUGAAAGGAGGCUUGGGACUGGGGGGAGGGACGAAAGGAAAAGGAGAUUGGAGCAGAAGGCGACCGGUGAGCUACUGAGAUAUAAACAGGUGAAUGAUUUUCUGUUCCCUUCCAGAUUGUUUCCUCAUCUCUCAACCAGACCCGGCCCUCAGAGAGAUGAGCUGGGCCGCCAGUCCCUUCCUAAAGCGACGCUGGUAAACUAUGUGGCACAGACGUUUUGCUCAACCACUGUCGCUUCUUCUCCGUGCGCCACUGGCCAAGCUGGUAACAUGCACAGGCCUCUGAAUCGCAUUAGCUGUGGGGUUGUUGUUAACUGAUACAAGCAGAAGCCCUUCUUCAAGUAGUGCAACCUUUGUGUGCACGGAUCCCUCAGGCAGACAUGCACAUGAUUUGGACUGCAAGCGAAAACAUGAGUGUCCCGGAGGAACAAACACUCUGACCUUUACAAAGAUUCAUUUUUUUCCCCCCUCAAAGCGAUUUUGUAUCUUCUCCAUUUUCCAUUUCAUUUGGCAGGCUGAAAAGUAAUAAAUAAAGGGGGAUUUGAAGAGACAUCCAAGAGUGUUUUUUUUUCUCCAUUUGUUUAGUAGAUCGAAUCAGAGUUACUCCAUGGACAACAAUGCAGCCACUGCAUAGAGACCACGACACGUUUCUGAUAGAGGGAGUGUACAAUAUCAUGACGUAAAUAUUUUGUGUGAGAUGACAAAUUUAAAGUCAAAUAUUUGAAUAAAAGUUUGCUAAUGCAACUGCUCACACUUUCACACUCUUCCCAAUAUGCGUGAGCUCGUGCUUGCUUGCAUAUGGUAAGCAAAUCCUUUAAACCUGGAGGUGUCUAAUCUUUUAUGUGUUUUACAAUUAGAACUCCCCCUCCGGGAUUACAUCUGCUUAGAGGAAAAAAAGUUGUUUGUUUCCAGGUAAAAUUAGAAACUACCAAAUACAAGAUGUUUAAACAGGGAUUUGUGUAGCGAGUGAGGCUCUAUUCUGUCCCGUCUACAGUAAAAAGACCAAGUGAACCAACAGGCCAAGACAACAGCCAGCCUUUCACACGGAGCGGCAUUGACACCUCUCUGGGCCCGUCUCCAAGCUGCCAGUCCCAACUAGCCAGUCGCCUCCCCUCCAUCCAUAUCAUUGACUCGCCACUGACUUCAGCGCACUUUUGCCAAGCCCCUCUGAAAUGACGCAUUGUGCCUGGGGAGUUAUCAGAGAGGACAAUAUUCUCCUGAAACAGUCCUAAAGUGGACUUCAGAGAAAGGACCUGCCUGCUUUACUUUCUCUCUGCGGUUGCUAGGCUAGUUCCCCACACAGGAUCACUGGGGCCUUUAUGGGCGGCUGGCACCGACCCAGCCCCCCCCCCCCUUUGCCUCGGACUGUGAGUAGAAGAGAGAGUGGGCGCCGGAGGGAAAAGCCCUCCUCUCACUCAGGGUGGCGUGCUAGGACUUCCAAUGUUCCCGUGCCCACCUUCACUCCCACUGGCAUUCCCACAAGUGUGUCUGAUGGCUGGUUCCUGCGGCCCCGCUCCCGGGCUCUGACCUCAAUCCGUCUCGUUAAACCGUAAUUGGAAAUGAGCCGGCCGUUUACCUCGCCGGAUAUAUAUCUGUGAACCCGCCCUCCUCUGGGAAAUCGGCACCUGCGUGCUCCCUUUAUGAAUCAAACGCUGGGAUUUCUCACCUACCGCUAAACUCAUCUAGGCAGAUCUGAGGUUUUCACCGUCGCCGAGGUAUAUUUCAGAGAGCUCGCCCCAAGGCGCUACUUUACGGCUCAGGAGACAGAGGGGCGAAAUGACACUCGCUCCCACACUUUAUUCUUUGAGAUGAUGUAUUAGGGUGGGAUGCCAUACUCUGCACUGCAGCGGUUCGCCAUCAUUAUUCAUCGGUAUGAAUGAUUUGUAAUCAAUGCUUGCUGGUUUGCUGUUCAUUUUGGGAUAGGAGUCAUACUUCUGCUCAAUAUCUGGCUGUGCUGCAUUUCACACGAGGGAGUUUCCCGUUGCCAGAACAAAGGGGGAUUCUGGUUACCCUGAAGGCAACACUGGUACCAAAAGGUACAGCAGUAUCAGACUUCUGAAUGUGAAUGCUCGCGGGGUAAUCUGUGCUCAAGUGGCUCUGCCUCACCCAGAGCCCACAUUAGCAUGAAUGCAAUAAGCUCUCAAUGUCCCCAAGUCUCCUCUAUAGCAGAGACAAAGACACAUGUAGGAACAAACAAGGCGCUACGGUACAUACAGUACACAAAUACACACCAACGCACCACACUCUCUGACGCUGUCUUUCCCAUCCCUUUCAGUCUAAUCCAACCUGCAGACACGCCGCCUCCACCAGAUCGAUGGCAGUGUCCUUGGAAAUGAAACCUCAAGGUCGGCUUUCCCUAUGUUCCCCUAUACCUCUACCUGAGUCAUGGUGUCUGUUUGUAACAACUUCUUGGAGUCAACACAAUAAUCUAUCGGUUAACAAAAUGCAGAAAAAUAAUAUUAAAAGCAGAAAUAUAAAACAAUGACUCUUUCAUCUUGACUCUGAAUAUCAAAGAAGACACAGCUUUCUAUCAGGUUGAAGCACGCUGAGAUGAAUCUCAUACUUGAAUAAUAAUAAUCACAUUUUCUAAAUAUACAGCCGUGUUUAUCCCCAUGGCUGAGUCAAAUACAUAUUUAUAUGCGCAUUCCCGUACAUUCAUCCACAGUGUAAAAUGAAUAUAUAUCUAAUCCAUAUUUUGCCUCUAUUGUUUUCUAGGCAAUACAGAAUGCUACUCAGCCCUGAAAAUAAGCCACAGUGUGAGCAUUAUCAAACAGGUUGAGUCAAAUAAAGCUACGAUUGGUGUGUGAAAUUAAAUUCAUGUUUGAUCCCUCAGCACCUUUACCGUCUCAGAGAAUAUAACAUAUCUCAGUCCAUGUUUUUGGCAGUGGGGGAUACUUUGUGUGGGUAUGAGGUGGUUGCAUAUAAAAGGGACUUUUAUCAUAUUUCAGAUCUGUUACAAUCCUUUGCUAUCUGAGCAAGCAAGCUGCAAUCUACCAACACUGGGUCACUACACCAACUAAUAACAUUAAAUAUUAAAAUGUGUCCGGUUAGUAAAUUGAUCAAAAUGUAAUGGACAAUUUAACUUUCAUCAGAACGCAAAUGAAUGAUUGCAAACCGUGAUUAAUGACCACAACAAAGUCCUUCCUUAUUCCAGAAACAAGAGCUUCUUAGCCCUUCUCAAGCCAGUGGCUGACCUAUUUAAGUCUCAUAAUGAUGAUGAACUUGCCAUGCUAAUGACCAUUUCCCUAUUGCAUUAGGAAGUACUUCCUCUCACUGUGGCACAAUGGCGUUGGGUAACUGCAUAAGCCAGCAGCAGUAGUCUGACACAGAAUCAUCCGCCCACACAGCCCGGCAGGACGGAGCAAGAGGGCCACAACAAAUGACUCACUCAGGAUCAUUUUAAAUGUAAUGAACUCGCUGUAUAUUCCGGUCUGCAAACUAGGUUCCCGAUUCAACGUGAAAACAAAGACUAGAAAUAGAUUGCGAAGAUAGGAGGAUGGUAGAUAUCUCUUGGGCUGAUUAUUGUCUCCAUUUCCUUAUUCUAUGUAUGCAAACUCCAAAAACUGCCAUCAUUAAGACAGUAAAUGAGUUUUACAUCAUCUAUGUGCCGGAUUAGAGAUUUUUUGUUUAUUAACCAUUUCUAAUUAUGUGCAAGGUGUGUAAGGUAAUCUCCCCUGUCCCGCAUCCAUUAAACCUUGCAUUUUAACCCUGUGAGAUGUGAGCAAUCACUGUGUGAAUGAACAAUAAAUCCCGUUUCAGUGUUGGUGCUGUCUGUGAUUCUUGGGUUGUUUCUGAUCCACCCGUGAGACACUGUCACCGUCGAUCAGUUACUGGUCUCUCGGUUUCUCUGCCAUAUUGACAGCUGCUCUGAAGUCUCUGCUCAUCCUGAGUCCUUCAACGGAGCGGAGCGUCACAGACGUGGACAGUCCCACAACAUGGUUCUAAAGUGACGCAGACUGUCAGAGCUAGUGGAGCAGACGAGAGGAGCCGGAAACGGAUUAGUCCAUUUUGAUCUGCUUAGCUGCUACUCAGGGGAAUACAGGCAGGCCCACAUGAGUAGAUGAAGCAUACCGGAAUACUAAGGAAGGCUUGAAGGAAUUGGCUGACGCAUUGUAGAUACAAGAAAUAGACAAGCAAAGAAAACUAAGAAAGGGGAUGAGUAUGACAGACGGCAGAAACAAGUGACAUCGUGAUGAGCCCAGCCCAGUUUUGAGUAGAAGCUUGAGAUAGGGGAAGGUCACAAGUCUAAAAAGAGAUGGUGAACCUGCUUUUAACUGAGGUACCGGCUCGUAACUGAGGUACCGGCUCGUAACUGAGGUACCUGCUCGUAAUUGAGGUACCUGCUCGUAAUUGAGGUACCUGCUCGUAAUUGAGGUACCUGCUCGUAAUAGAGGUACCUGCUUUUAACUGAGAGACCUGCUUUUAACUGAGGUACCUGCUCGUAACUGAGGUACCGGCUUGUAACUGAGG
Gasterosteus aculeatus aculeatus (three-spined stickleback) is the source of this 15794-nucleotide long non-coding RNA. The record is from Ensembl. NCBI's taxonomy places the organism in Eukaryota, Metazoa, Chordata, Actinopteri, Perciformes, Gasterosteidae.